Molecule: ribosomal RNA, 253 nt
Filed under: uncultured bacterium
Lineage: Bacteria
Description: partial 16S ribosomal RNA
Rfam family: Bacterial small subunit ribosomal RNA
Source: RNAcentral
UACGUAGGGUGCAAGCGUUGUCCGGAAUUAUUGGGCGUAAAGAGCUCGUAGGCGGUCUGUCGCGUCUGCUGUGAAAACUCAGGGCUUAACCCUGAGCUUGCAGUGGGUACGGGCAGACUAGAGUGCGGUAGGGGAGACUGGAAUUCCAAGUGUAGCGGUGAAAUGCGUAGAUAUCGAGAGGAACACCUGCGGCGAAGGCGGGUUGCUGGGCUGAUACUGACGCUGAGGCGCGAAAGCCAGGGGAGCGAACGGG